RNAcentral lists this ribosomal RNA (460 nucleotides) under uncultured bacterium. Its description in RNAcentral is "partial 16S ribosomal RNA". It matches the Rfam family "Bacterial small subunit ribosomal RNA", at positions 338 to 795 of the family's 1533-position model. The record is from RNAcentral.
CCUACGGGUGGCAGCAGUGAGGAAUAUUGGUCAAUGGACGAGAGUCUGAACCAGCCAAGUAGCGUGAAGGAUGACUGCCCUAUGGGUUGUAAACUUCUUUUAUAUGGGAAUAAAAUGUUCCACGUGUGGGCUUUUGUAUGUACCAUAUGAAUAAGGAUCGGCUAACUCCGUGCCAGCAGCCGCGGUAAUACGGAGGAUCCGAGCGUUAUCCGGAUUUAUUGGGUUUAAAGGGAGCGUAGGUGGAUUGUUAAGUCAGUUGUGAAAGUUUGCGGCUCAACCGUAAAAUUGCAGUUGAAACUGGCAGUCUUGAGUACAGGAGAGGUAGGCGGAAUGCGUGGUGUAGCGGUGAAAUGCUUAGAUAUCACGAAGAACUCCGAUUGCGAAGGCAGCUCACUGGCCUGCAACUGACGCUGAGGCUCGAAAGUGUGGGUAUCAAACAGGAUUAGAUACCCGAGUAGUC